RNAcentral lists this ribosomal RNA (440 nucleotides) under uncultured bacterium. RNAcentral's name for it is "bacterial SSU rRNA". It matches the Rfam family "Bacterial small subunit ribosomal RNA", at positions 339 to 795 of the family's 1533-position model. The record is from RNAcentral.
GUACGGGAGGCAGCAGUGGGGAAUAUUGCACAAUGGGGGAAACCCUGAUGCAGCGACGCCGCGUGCGGGAUGAAGGCCUUCGGGUUGUAAACCGCUUUCAGCAGGGGCGAAUUCAGACGGUACCUGCAGAAGAAGCGCCGGCUAACUACGUGCCAGCAGCCGCGGUAAUACGUAGGGCGCAAGCGUUGUCCGGAAUUAUUGGGCGUAAAGAGCUCGUAGGCGGCCUGUUGCGUCCGCUGUGAAAACCCGGGGCUUAACCCCGGGCCUGCAGUGGAUACGGGCAGGCUGGAGGCAGGCAGGGGAGAACGGAAUUCCCGGUGUAGCGGUGAAAUGCGCAGAUAUCGGGAGGAACACCGGUGGCGAAGGCGGUUCUCUGGGCCUGUACUGACGCUGAGGAGCGAAAGCGUGGGGAGCGAACAGGAUUAGAUACCCCAGUAGUC